This 496-nucleotide ribosomal RNA is filed under the name uncultured bacterium. Its description in RNAcentral is "partial 16S ribosomal RNA". It matches the Rfam family "Bacterial small subunit ribosomal RNA", at positions 28 to 507 of the family's 1533-position model. The record is from RNAcentral.
GAUGAACGCUGGCGGCGUGCCUAAUACAUGCAAGUCGAGCGAACAGACGAGGAGCUUGCUCCUCUGACGUUAGCGGCGGACGGGUGAGUAACACGUGGAUAACCUACCUAUAAGACUGGGAUAACUUCGGGAAACCGGAGCUAAUACCGGAUAAUAUAUUGAACCGCAUGGUUCAAUAGUGAAAGACGGUUUUGCUGUCACUUAUAGAUGGAUCCGCGCCGCAUUAGCUAGUUGGUAAGGUAACGGCUUACCAAGGCAACGAUGCGUAGCCGACCUGAGAGGGUGAUCGGCCACACUGGAACUGAGACACGGUCCAGACUCCUACGGGAGGCAGCAGUAGGGAAUCUUCCGCAAUGGGCGAAAGCUUGACGGAGCAACGCCGCGUGAGUGAUGAAGGUCUUCGGAUCGUAAAACUCUGUUAUUAGGGAAGAACAAAUGUGUAAGUAACUAUGCACGUCUUGACGGUACCUAAUCAGAAAGCACGGCUAACUACGUG